GGGGAGGUUCCCGAGUGGUCAAAGGGGGCAGACUGUAAAUCUGUUGGCUCAGCCUUCGAAGGUUCAAAUCCUUCUCUCCCCA
Molecule: transfer RNA, 82 nt
Filed under: Spirochaetae bacterium HGW-Spirochaetae-8
Lineage: Bacteria; Pseudomonadati; Spirochaetota
Also listed under: 2 other names
Description: tRNA-Tyr
Rfam family: tRNA
About the family: Transfer RNA (tRNA) molecules are approximately 80 nucleotides in length. Their secondary structure includes four short double-helical elements and three loops (D, anti-codon, and T loops). Further hydrogen bonds mediate the characteristic L-shaped molecular structure. tRNAs have two regions of fundamental functional importance: the anti-codon, which is responsible for specific mRNA codon recognition, and the 3' end, to which the tRNAs corresponding amino acid is attached (by aminoacyl-tRNA synthetases). tRNAs cope with the degeneracy of the genetic code in two manners: having more than one tRNA (with a specific anti-codon) for a particular amino acid; and 'wobble' base-pairing, i.e. permitting non-standard base-pairing at the 3rd anti-codon position.
Source: RNAcentral